GCUAGGAUAGCUCAGCUGGUAGAGCAAUUGAUUCGUAAUCAAUAGGUCGUAGGUUCGAAUCCUAUUCCUAGCACCA
This 76-nucleotide transfer RNA is filed under the name Acholeplasmataceae bacterium. RNAcentral describes it as "tRNA-Thr". It matches the Rfam family "tRNA". Rfam says of the family: Transfer RNA (tRNA) molecules are approximately 80 nucleotides in length. Their secondary structure includes four short double-helical elements and three loops (D, anti-codon, and T loops). Further hydrogen bonds mediate the characteristic L-shaped molecular structure. tRNAs have two regions of fundamental functional importance: the anti-codon, which is responsible for specific mRNA codon recognition, and the 3' end, to which the tRNAs corresponding amino acid is attached (by aminoacyl-tRNA synthetases). tRNAs cope with the degeneracy of the genetic code in two manners: having more than one tRNA (with a specific anti-codon) for a particular amino acid; and 'wobble' base-pairing, i.e. permitting non-standard base-pairing at the 3rd anti-codon position. Lineage: Bacteria; Bacillati; Mycoplasmatota; Mollicutes; Acholeplasmatales; Acholeplasmataceae. The record is from RNAcentral.